UACGUAGGGGGCAAGCGUUAUCCGGAUUUACUGGGUGUAAAGGGAGCGCAGACGGAACUGCAAGUCUGAUGUGAAAGCCCGGGGCUCAACCGCGGGACUGCAUCGGAUACUGUAGAUCUGGAGUGUCGGAGGGGCAAGCGGAAUUCCUGAUGUAGCGGUGAAAUGCGUAGAUAUCAGGAGGAACACCGGCUGCGAAGGCGGCUUGCUGGACGGCAACUGACGUUGAGGCUCGAAAGCGUGGGGAGCAAACAGGAUUAGAUA
Molecule: ribosomal RNA, 261 nt
Filed under: uncultured prokaryote
Description: partial 16S ribosomal RNA
Rfam family: Bacterial small subunit ribosomal RNA
Source: RNAcentral